RNAcentral lists this microRNA (24 nucleotides) under Monodelphis domestica (gray short-tailed opossum). RNAcentral's name for it is "mdo-miR-12384-5p". The record is from miRBase by way of RNAcentral. Lineage: Eukaryota; Metazoa; Chordata; Mammalia; Didelphimorphia; Didelphidae.
UUCUUAACCUUUUUGUGUCAUGGU